This 1403-nucleotide ribosomal RNA is filed under the name uncultured Pseudomonadota bacterium. RNAcentral's name for it is "uncultured proteobacterium partial 16S ribosomal RNA". It matches the Rfam family "Bacterial small subunit ribosomal RNA", at positions 64 to 1442 of the family's 1533-position model. Lineage: Bacteria; Pseudomonadati; Pseudomonadota. The record is from RNAcentral.
ACGCGAACGGUUUUCUUCGGAAGACCUAGUAGAGUGGCGCACGGGUGAGUAACGCGUAAGUAAUCUACCUUGGCAUCUGGGAUAACCCACCGAAAGGUGUGCUAAUACCGGAUACGUUUAGUUUAUCAUAAGUUAAACUAAAGAAAGAUGGCCUCUUUUUUAAGCUAUUGUGCCAAGAGGAGCUUGCGUACCAUUAGCUAGUUGGUGGGGUAAAGGCCUACCAAGGCAACGAUGGUUAGCGGGUCUGAGAGGAUGAUCCGCCACACUGGAACUGAAACACGGACCAGACUCCUACGGGAGGCAGCAGUGAGGAAUAUUGCGCAAUGGGGGCAACCCUGACGCAGCGACGCCGCGUGGAUGAUGAAGGCUUUCGAGUCGUAAAAUCCUGUCAGAUGGGAAGAAGUGCACUAUGGUUAAUACCUGUAGUGUUUGACGGUACCAUCAAAGGAAGCACCGGCUAACUCCGUGCCAGCAGCCGCGGUAAUACGGAGGGUGCAAGCGUUGUUCGGAAUUACUGGGCGUAAAGCGCGCGCAGGCGGUCUGUUAAGUCAGAUGUGAAAGUCCACGGCUCAACCGUGGAAGUGCAUUUGAAACUGGCAGACUUGAGUACUGGAGGGGGUGGUGGAAUUCCCGGUGUAGAGGUGAAAUUCGUAGAUAUCGGGAGGAAUACCGGUGGCGAAGGCGACCACCUGGCCAGAUACUGACGCUCAUGUGCGAAAGCGUGGGGAGCAAACAGGAUUAGAUACCCUGGUAGUCCACGCCCUAAACGAUGAAUGUUAGUCGUUGGAGUGCUAGUCACUUCAGUGAUGCAGUUAACACAUUAAACAUUCCGCCUGGGGAGUACGGUCGCAAGAUUAAAACUCAAAGGAAUAGACGGGGACCCGCACAAGUGGUGGAGCAUGUGGUUUAAUUCGAAGAUACGCGAAGAACCUUACCUAGCCUUGACAUUGAUAGAACACUUUAGAGAUAGAGUGGUGCCCUUCGGGGAACUUGAAAACAGGUGCUGCACGGCUGUCGUCAGCUCGUGUCGUGAGAUGUUGGGUUAAGUCCCGCAACGAGCGCAACCCUCGUGACUAGUUACUAACGGUUCGGCCGAGGACUCUAGUCAGACUGCCUUCGCAAGGAGGAGGAAGGUGAGGACGACGUCAAGUCAUCAUGGCCCUUACGGCUAGGGCGACACACGUGCUACAAUGGGUAGGACAAUGAGAAGCGAUACCGCGAGGUGGAGCAAAUCUAUAAACCUACUCUCAGUUCGGAUAGCAGUCUGCAACUCGACUGCUUGAAGCUGGAAUCACUAGUAAUCGUAGAUCAGCCAUGCUACGGUGAAUACGUUCCCGGGCCUUGUACACACCGCCCGUCACACCACGGGAGUUGGUUGUACCAGAAGCAGUUGAGCUAACUUU